RNAcentral lists this ribosomal RNA (265 nucleotides) under uncultured Flavobacterium sp. Its description in RNAcentral is "partial 16S ribosomal RNA". It matches the Rfam family "Bacterial small subunit ribosomal RNA", at positions 1 to 273 of the family's 1533-position model. The record is from RNAcentral. Lineage: Bacteria; Pseudomonadati; Bacteroidota; Flavobacteriia; Flavobacteriales; Flavobacteriaceae.
CUCGGAGUUUGAUCCUGGCUCAGGAUGAACGCUAGCGGCAGGCUUAACACAUGCAAGUCGAGGGGUAUUGGUUUUCGGACCAAGAGACCGGCGCACGGGUGCGUAACGCGUAUGCAAUCUACCUUUCACAGAGGGAUAGCCCAGAGAAAUUUGGAUUAAUACCUCAUAGUAUGCAGAGUUGGCAUCAACACUGCAUUAAAGUCACAACGGUGAAAGAUGAGCAUGCGUCCCAUUAGCUUGUUGGUAAGGUAACGGCUUACCAAGG